Small nuclear RNA from Otolemur garnettii (small-eared galago), 107 nucleotides. The record is from Ensembl. Lineage: Eukaryota; Metazoa; Chordata; Mammalia; Primates; Galagidae.
GUGCUUGCUUUGGCAGCACAUAUACUAAAAUUGGAACGGUACAGAGAAAAUUAAUAUGGUCCUUGUUCAAGGAUGACAUGCAAAUUCGUGAAGCAUUCCAUAUUUAG